UCAGGUGGCCGCAGAGAAUAGGCCCAAGCGACUGUUUACCAAAAACAUAGGUUUCUGCUAAGUCGCAAGACGAUGUAUAGGAGCUGACGCCUGCCCGGUGCUGGAAGGUUAAGGGGAUCUGUUAGAGCAAUCGAAGCAGUGAACUUAAGCCCCAGUAAACGGCGGCCGUAACUAUAACGGUCCUAAGGUAGCGAAAUUCCUUGUCGGGUAAGUUCCGACCCGCACGAAAGGCGUAACGAUUUGGGCACUGUCUCA
This 255-nucleotide ribosomal RNA is filed under the name Clostridioides difficile. RNAcentral's name for it is "partial 23S ribosomal RNA". It matches the Rfam family "Bacterial large subunit ribosomal RNA", at positions 1769 to 2023 of the family's 2925-position model. Lineage: Bacteria; Bacillati; Bacillota; Clostridia; Peptostreptococcales; Peptostreptococcaceae. The record is from RNAcentral.